UCAUGGCCUUACGGCCUGGCUACACACGUGCUACAAUUGGUCGGUACAGAGGGUUGCCAAGCCGCGAGGUGGAGCUAAUCUCACAAAACCGAUCGUAGUCCGGAUCACAGUCUGCAACUCGACUGCGUGAAGUCGGAAUCGCUAGUAAUCGCGAAUCAGAAUGUCGCGGUGAAUACGUUCCCGGGCCUUGUACACACCGCCCGUCACACCAUGGGAGUGGGUUGCACCAGAAGUAGCUAGUCUAACCUUCGGGAGGACGGUUACCACGGUGUGAUUCAUGACUGGGGUGAAGUCGUAACAAGGUAGCCGUAGGGGAA
This 317-nucleotide ribosomal RNA is filed under the name uncultured bacterium. RNAcentral describes it as "bacterial SSU rRNA". It matches the Rfam family "Bacterial small subunit ribosomal RNA", at positions 1193 to 1510 of the family's 1533-position model. The record is from RNAcentral.